UCCAUAGUGAGAUCUGGUGCCCUCUU
RNAcentral lists this non-coding RNA (26 nucleotides) under Cricetulus griseus (Chinese hamster). The record is from RNAcentral. Lineage: Eukaryota; Metazoa; Chordata; Mammalia; Rodentia; Cricetidae.